CCUACGGGGUGCAGCAGUGAGGAAUAUUGGUCAAUGGGCGGGAGCCUGAACCAGCCAAGUCGCGUGAGGGAAGACGGUCCUAUGGAUUGUAAACCUCUUUAGGCGGGGAGCAAUGCCGGGCACGCGUGCCCGGAGGGAGAGUACCCGCAGAAUAAGCAUCGGCUAACUCCGUGCCAGCAGCGGCGGUCAGACGGAGGAUGCGAGCGUUAUCCGGUUUUAUGGGGUUUAAAGGGUGCGUAGGCGGAUUUUUAAGUCAGCGGUAAAAUGUCCGGGCUCAACCAGGGCCGGCCGUUGAAACUGGGGAUCUUGAGUGGGCGAGAAGUAUGCGGAAUGCGUGGUGUAGCGGUGAAAUGCAUAGAUAUCACGCAGAACUCCGAUUGCGAAGGCAGCAUACCGGCGCCCGACUGACGCUGAGGCACGAAAGCGUGGGGAUCGAACAGGAUUAGAUACCCUAGUAGUC
This 460-nucleotide ribosomal RNA is filed under the name uncultured bacterium. RNAcentral's name for it is "partial 16S ribosomal RNA". It matches the Rfam family "Bacterial small subunit ribosomal RNA", at positions 338 to 795 of the family's 1533-position model. The record is from RNAcentral.